AGCGGCAACAGCUCAAAUUUGAAAUCUGGCCCUUUCAGGGUCCGAGUUGUAAUUUGUAGAGGGUGCUUUGGCGUCGGCCGUGGUCUAAGUUCCUUGGAACAGGACGUCACAGAGGGUGAGAAUCCCGUACGUGGCCGCCGGCCUUCGCCGUGUAAAGCCCCUUCGACGAGUCGAGUUGUUUGGGAAUGCAGCUCUAAAUGGGAGAUAAAUUUCUUCUAAAGCUAAAUAUUGGCCAGAGACCGAUAGCGCACAAGUAGAGUGAUCGAAAGAUGAAAAGCACUUUGGAAAGAGAGUCAAAAAGCACGUGAAAUUGUUGAAAGGGAAGCGCUUGCAGCCAGACGUGCCCGCAGUUGCUCACCCAGGCUCUCGCCUGGGGCACUCUUCUGCGGGCAGGCCAGCAUCAGUUCGGGCGGUUGGAUAAAGGCCUCUAUCACGUACCACCUCUCGGGGUGUCCUUAUAGGGGAGGCGCAACACGACCAGCCUGAACUGAGGACCGCGCAUCAGCUAGGAUGCUGGCGUAAUGGCUGUAAGCGGCCCGUCUUGAAACACGGACCAAGGAGUCUAACAUCUAUGCGAGUGUUUGGGUGUCAAGCCCGGGCGCGCAAUGAAAGUGAACGGAGGUGGGAACCCCUCGGGGUGCACCAUCGACCGAUCCUGAAGUCUUCGGAUGGAUUUGAGUAAGAGCAUAGCUGUUGGGACCCGAAAGAUGGUGAACUAUGCCUGAAUAGGGUGAAGCCAGGGGAAACCCUGGUGGAGGCUCGCAGCGGUUCUGACGUGCAAAUCGAUCGUCAAAUUUGGGCAUAGGG
Molecule: ribosomal RNA, 807 nt
Filed under: Neoroussoella sp.
Lineage: Eukaryota; Fungi; Ascomycota; Dothideomycetes; Pleosporales; Thyridariaceae
Description: partial large subunit ribosomal RNA
Rfam family: Eukaryotic large subunit ribosomal RNA
Source: RNAcentral